RNAcentral lists this transfer RNA (86 nucleotides) under Pyrococcus yayanosii CH1. RNAcentral describes it as "tRNA-Ser (CGA) (tRNA-Ser-CGA-1-1)". It matches the Rfam family "tRNA". Rfam says of the family: Transfer RNA (tRNA) molecules are approximately 80 nucleotides in length. Their secondary structure includes four short double-helical elements and three loops (D, anti-codon, and T loops). The record is from RNAcentral. Lineage: Archaea; Methanobacteriati; Methanobacteriota; Thermococci; Thermococcales; Thermococcaceae.
GCCGGGGUAGCCUAGCCAGGGAAGGCGCGGGACUCGAGAUCCCGUGGGCGUUGCCCACCGGGGUUCAAAUCCCCGCCCCGGCGCCA